Long non-coding RNA from Corticium candelabrum, 804 nucleotides. RefSeq lists it as uncharacterized. The record is from RefSeq and is a predicted model, not a curated record. Lineage: Eukaryota; Metazoa; Porifera; Homoscleromorpha; Homosclerophorida; Plakinidae. The transcript has 4 exons.
GUUAACGUUUGUCAUUCCAUCCAACAUUUCUAUCUUUAUUUUUUACAAAUGUUUUGUUGCUAAUGUUCAUGAUUUAUCUUGAUGAAUGGUAACUGCAGCAAGACAAUAUGCCACACCUACUUGACACAAGCAACUUCUGGUUGAAUGACAAAUGAAAUCAACAUCAUUGACUGAAUGUUGAACUUGCAGCUUAAUUUCAACUUGAAAGAAAUUUAUGGAGUUGGAUGAAGGAAAAGUUGAACAGAAAAUUGCUGUUAAAGCAGCAAUAAUGGAAAUGAGACAUUGUAGAUGUUUGGGAGGAUUUGACUUAGUUAGUAUCCUGGAGCCAUUGGCACUUUAUUUACAUCAUUGCGGCUGAUCGAUGACAUAGAGGGAUGGCAAUAGCAUGUGGAGUGUGUCAUGUUUGUUACUGGAAAUAGAUGUGUAAAUGAACGGACAUGACAGCAAGCAGACAAUAGGUGGGAAGAUUGCUGAUAUGAGUGGCCAAGCAAUUGGUAGUGUUAGUCAUCUUGGCAUUGUGCGUGCAGCCAUCGCAUUCUGUUGAUGUGGAGUGCAUUGGAAGCAAGGGAGAACCGGGUGUUCCCGGAGUUCCUGGUCCUCCAGGAAGACAGGUGAGUGAUGGAUGUAGAAUAUAUCUAUUGAGGUACUAGUCAUUAUGAUAGAAAAUGUAUGGGAGAAGUGGGUGAGUGGAGUGUUGAUGAGAUAACAUGUGAGGGUUGGUUAUAUGAGACUACAGGAUAGAGUAGAAUGGGGAUUAUAAUGGUUGUCAGUAUGUUGAACAUAUGAGAGACCAAGUACUGUAUU